This 250-nucleotide ribosomal RNA is filed under the name Pseudomonas aeruginosa. Its description in RNAcentral is "partial 23S ribosomal RNA". It matches the Rfam family "Bacterial large subunit ribosomal RNA", at positions 1042 to 1293 of the family's 2925-position model. Lineage: Bacteria; Pseudomonadati; Pseudomonadota; Gammaproteobacteria; Pseudomonadales; Pseudomonadaceae. The record is from RNAcentral.
AGGUCCCAAAGUUGUGGUUAAGUGGUAAACGAUGUGGGAAGGCUUAGACAGCUAGGAGGUUGGCUUAGAAGCAGCCACCCUUUAAAGAAAGCGUAAUAGCUCACUAGUCGAGUCGGCCUGCGCGGAAGAUGUAACGGGGCUCAAACCACACACCGAAGCUGCGGGUGUCACGCAAGUGACGCGGUAGAGGAGCGUUCUGUAAGCCUGUGAAGGUGAGUUGAGAAGCUUGCUGGAGGUAUCAGAAGUGCGA